Molecule: unclassified non-coding RNA, 815 nt
Filed under: Dermacentor andersoni
Lineage: Eukaryota; Metazoa; Arthropoda; Arachnida; Ixodida; Ixodidae
Description: uncharacterized LOC126526624
Source: RNAcentral
UGUUGUCCGCUAUUUACUCUUAAUAAAUAGCUGACCAUAAGUACUCCGCUUCAUUCCAGAAGUAGUCCGCUUCAUUCGUUACCGCUUUUUUAUUCCUUUUCACUACUCUUGGCCAAUGUUUAGGUGCCAUUUGCAUGCUAAAUAGUUGCGGUGUGAGUAGCAGGCUUUCCUUUUCACCAUCAACCAACCAUCUCUCUUCAGCUGUUUGCUUCAUCUAGUAGCCGCAUUUAGGUGCAUCUCAUCAAGCAUUUUCUUUGGUUUCCAGUGCAACGAGGUAUCCUCAAGCACACACAUGGAGCUUGAGGGUCUGAAGAGGGCUCUCACCUCCCUUGAUGAAAGCGGCAUCAUUGUCACUGAAGUGGUGACUGACCGGCAUCCACAAGUGCGCAGGUACUUCAAGUCUGAGAGGCCUGAAGUGGACCACCUGUUUGAUGCAUGGCACGUCUGCAAAGGGCUAAACAAGAAGCUCUUGCAGGCUGCGAAAUCCACAGGAUGCGCUGCCAUUGGCCUGUGGACACGUUCAAUCGUCAACCACCUAUACUUUUCAGUGCACUGUGGGAAUGGCAAUGGUGACCUUGCCGUGGCUGUGUGGCUUUCUGUAAUGAACCACGUGCAAGAAUAACACCAUGGCCACAGCCUACUUUAAGAUAGAUGCCAGCAUGGCGACCUUGAGCCACGGAAAUGGAUCUUUCCAGGUACCCAUGCUUAUGACAAGCCGUCCGGCCUGUUGACGAACAAGAGGCUUCUGACUGACAUCCGUCUAAUUUCGCCACACAUGCAGACCUAUAGCGUGGAAUCUUUUCAUGCAAUAAUCA